UAAUACGUAGGGAGCAAGCGUUGUCCGGAUUUACUGGGUGUAAAGGGUGCGUAGGUGGUUUUGUGGGUCAGGCGUGAAAUUUAGAGGCUCAACUUCUGAACUGCGUUUGAAACUAUAAGACUUGAGUUAAGUAGGGGCAGAUGGAAUUCCCGGUGUAGCGGUGAAAUGCGUAGAUAUCGGGAGGAAUACCUGUGGCGAAGGCGAUCUGCUGGGCUUUUACUGACACUGAGGCACGAAAGCGUGGGUAGCAAACAGGAUUAGAUACCCUGGUAGUCCAUGCCGUAAACGAUGAUUACUAGGUGUGGGGGGUCUGACCCCCUCCGUGCCGCAGUUAACACAUUAAGUAAUCCACCUGGGAAGUACGACCGCAAGGUUAAAACUCAAAGGAAUUGACGGGGACCCGCACAAGCAGUGGAGUAUGUGGUUUAAUUCGAAGAUACGCGAAAAACCUUACCAGCUUUUGAGAUCCAGAUGAAUACAGGGUAAUGCCUGUAGCUCUUCCGACAUCUGA
This 511-nucleotide ribosomal RNA is filed under the name uncultured bacterium. Its description in RNAcentral is "bacterial SSU rRNA". It matches the Rfam family "Bacterial small subunit ribosomal RNA", at positions 521 to 1034 of the family's 1533-position model. The record is from RNAcentral.